GAUGAACGCUGGCGGCGUGCCUAAUACAUGCAAGUCGAGCGAAUGGAUUAAGAGCUUGCUCUUGUGAAGUUAGCGGCGGACGGGUGAGUAACACGUGGGUAACCUGCCCAUAAGACUGGGAUAACUCCGGGAAACCGGGGCUAAUACCGGAUAACAUUUUGAACCGCAUGGUUCGAAAUUGAAAGGCGGCUUCGGCUGUCACUUAUGGAUGGACCCGCGUCGCAUUAGCUAGUUGGUGAGGUAACGGCUCACCAAGGCAACGAUGCGUAGCCGACCUGGGAGGGGUAUCGGCCACACUGGGACUGAGACACGGCCCAGACUCCUACGGGAGGCAGCAGUAGGGAAUCUUCCGCAAUGGACGAAAGUCUGACGGAGCAACGCCGCGUGAGUGAUGAAGGCUUUCGGGUCGUAAAACUCUGUUGUUAGGGAAGAACAAGUGCUAGUUGAAUAAGCUGGCACCUUGACGGUACCUAACCAGAAAGCCACGGCUAACUACGUGCCAGCCGCCACGGUAA
Molecule: ribosomal RNA, 515 nt
Filed under: uncultured bacterium
Lineage: Bacteria
Description: partial 16S ribosomal RNA
Rfam family: Bacterial small subunit ribosomal RNA
Source: RNAcentral